RNAcentral lists this long non-coding RNA (22872 nucleotides) under Gossypium barbadense (sea-island cotton). RNAcentral's name for it is "long non-coding RNA (GBAR_LNC018242)". The record is from RNAcentral. Lineage: Eukaryota; Viridiplantae; Streptophyta; Magnoliopsida; Malvales; Malvaceae.
UACAAGGCAAGGUUAGUGGCUAAAGGCUACGCUCAGAAGGAGGGAAUUGACUAUAAUGAGGUAUUUUCUCCAGUUGUUAAACAUUCCUCCAUUAGAAUUUUGUUGGCCUUGGUAGCGCAGUUGAAUUUGGAGCUAGCUCAACUUGAUGUGAAGACCGCGUUUCUACACGGUGAUUUGAAGGAGGAAAUCUAUAUGACUCAGCCAGAUGGAUACAGGGUUGCUGGUAAAGAAAAUUGGGUGUGUAAACUUAGCAAAUCGUUGUACGGAUUGAAACAAUCUCCGAGACAAUGGUACAAACGAUUUGACAGGUUCAUGAAGGACCAGAAGUACAAAAGAAGCAAAUACGAUCAUUGUGUGUAUUUGCGCAAGCUUCAAGAUAGUUCCUACAUCUACUUACUCUUGUAUGUUGAUGAUAUGCUGAUUGCAGCAAAGAGCCAAAUGGAGAUUGAUAGACUGAAGGCUCAGUUGAGUAAAGAGUUUGAGAUGAAGGAUUUAGGGGAAGCUAAGAAGAUUCUCGGCAUGGAAAUAACUCGGGAUAGAAAGAGGGGCAAACUUUGGCUGUCACAAAAACAGUAUUUGGAGAAGGUACUACAACGUUUCGGUAUGUCUGAAGGUACAAAACCUGUAAGUACCCCAGUUGCUCCUCAUUUUAAACUAAGUAACCAGUUAUCUCCAACGACUAAGGAAGAACGAGAGUACAUGGCAAAAGUCCCAUAUGCAAAUGCAGUUGGAAGCUUGAUGUAUGCAAUGGUAUGUACAAGACCAGAUAUUUCACAGGCUGUUAGUGUUGUUAGCAGGUACAUGCAUGAUCCGGGCAGGGGUCAUUGGCAAGCUGUGAAAUGGAUUCUGCGGUAUCUCCAAAAUACCAUAGAUGUCGGAUUGGCAUUCGAGCAGGAUGAAUCAUUUGGUCAAUGCAUAGUUGGAUAUUGUGAUUCUGAUUAUGCAGGUGAUUUGGAUAAGCGACGGUCUACAACUGGCUAUUUGUUUACUUUAGCGAAAGCGCCAGUUAGUUGGAAAUCUACCUUACAGUCCACGGUGGCUUUGUCUACAACAGAGGCAGAGUAUAUGGCAAUUACAGAGGCUGUGAAGGAAGCAAUUUGGCUUCAUGGAUUGCUUAAAGACUUGGAAGUUGGUCAGAAACAACUUAAGGUAUAUUCUGACAGUCAGAGUGCUAUUCAUUUAGCAAAGAAUCAAGUUUUUCAUGCACGAACGAAGCACAUAGACGUUCGCUAUCACUUUGUGCGGGAAAUUCUCGAAGAAGAGGAGAUACUUCUCCAAAAGAUUCACACUGCGGAGAAUCCUGCAGAUAUGCUGACUAAGGUGGUUACAAGGGCCAAGUUUGAACAUUGUUUAGACUUGAUCAAUGUCCGACACAUUUGAUAUGGCGUCGUUGGCGCAAAUUUGAAGACACUAUUGAAUAUCGCUAAGGUGGAGAUUUGUUGAAUAUUGGCAAUAUCCCACAUUAGGAAAAGAUAGAAAGGGAGGGGGUUUGGUUUGUUAUAUAUAGAACCCCUCCCCCUUUGGUUGUAUUAUCCCAAAAUCUUCUCCUUUGUAAUAUUUCUAGAAGAAAUAUUAAUUUGGUAGUGUCCGAGGACGUAAGCUAAAUUGGCCGAACCUCGUUAAAUCUCUGGUAUUUUAUUUCUUAUUUGUUUGCUUAUAUUUAAUAGCUUUAUGUUGGUUAUAUUUAUUUAGUUAUUAUUGCUAUAAAUAUCUAAGUGAGUUCUGUCUAGUUGUUGGGUUUUAAGCGGGACCAUUUGUGACCCCUCUAAUUUAACUGGGAAUUUUCUUAGUAUAAUUGUUGGCAUAAUAAUUAUCUAAAUAUUUCUGAUAAUAUUGUUAUUAAUAUUAUCGUCGCUUCCGCAACAGAAAGUAGUAUCAAAUGUAAUAAUGGGUUUGACGAUGAAUUGUGAAGGAAAUGGGUGCAAUGUUAGAGGGGGACUUAUAGGCUAAAGUUAUCUAAGCUUUAAUGGCUGAUCACUUUUUCCUGGAAAAUUCUUCCCUAAUUAGAAAUUACUUUCCACGUGAAAAACGCUCUAGAUGAUGAUGCCCCGAAAGAUAACCCCAAUAACAGUCAAAGCCGUAAUCAUCUUCAACCUCAACCUUGUCGUAUAUAAUUGCACCAAAUAUAAAUUUAUACAAUAACUUUAUGUUACUUUCAAAGAGAUUUUUCCUAAAAGUGAAUCCAGAUUUCAUGAUAAUAUUAUUAAAAGAUGAGAUUAAGCUCAUUUAUAACGUAAGUUUAUAGUAUAUAUUAUAAUAUAUUAUAUACAUAGAUAGAGUAGAGAUGUGCAAAUCUCAGUCAAACUAAUAGAUAAGGACACAUGUAACAUGUUUUCCCACUUCAAUUUUUAAAUCCAUACAUGUACAUUAUGCAUCACGUUUGAAUUUUGUGUUUCACAAUGUUCAUAAUAUAACAAUAAUCUAUAAUAUACCAUUCGCUUAAUAGUGUAAAAAGCCUUCAAAUUUUAUUUUUUCAAAAAGAGUAAUUAAGUCCCUUUCUUUUUUCACCCAGUUGAGCAUUUAAACUUUUAAAAUAUAUCAAAAAGGCCCUCAAAUUUUUUCAAAAAAACAAUUAAGCCCUUGCUCUUUUUUUUUAUUCAAUUGGUUAUUUAAACUUUCAAAAUGCAUCAAAACGACUCUUAAAAUUCUUCAAAAAGCAAUUAAGUCAUUGCUCUUAUUAAAAAUAAUAAAUAAUAAAUUUUAAUAAAAAUAUAAAAAAAUAUAAAAUUUAUUAAAAAUUAGUAAUUUUUUAUAAAAAUCUUUAAAAAAUAAAAAAAUUUUAAAAUUUUAUAAUAAUCAUAAAAACUUUAUAAAAUGCAUCAAAAAGUCCCUUUAACAAUAAACUUUAACUGUUGAUUGUUAAAGUUAUAACCCCUAAUUUUUACAAUUAAAGUUAUCACGUGUCACAACACAGCGUGACAUGUGACGAAAAAUGAUAAAAAAAUAAAAAUAAUUAAAAGUUAUAGAAAAAUUAUAAAAUGCUUCUUUUGGUACGACAAAUUUUAUAAUUUUUUUUACGAAACUUAUAUUUCUUUACAUUUUUUUAUAAUUUUCUUACAACUUUAUAAAAUUUUAUAAAUUUUUUAUAUUUCUAUAUAUUUUAUAAGUUUUAUAAAUUUUUAUAUAUUUUUUCUAAUUUUUAAUAUUUAAUUUUUUUUCUAAUUUUUAAUAAAAGCAAGGGUUUAAUUGCUUCUUUGUUUUUUUAAGUUUGAGGGUCUUUUUUAUGCAUUUUGAAAGUUCAAGUACCCAAUUGAGUGCAAAAAAAAAAGUAGGGGCUUAAUUGCUUUUUUGAAAAGGUUUGAGGGUAUUUUUUAUACAUUUUGAAAGUUCAAGUACCCAAAUAAGUGCAAAAAAAAAAGCGUAAGGCUUAAUUGCUUUUUUUUAAGAAGUUUGAGGGUUUUUUUGUAUCCUUAAGCCUAUACUAUUUAAGGGUCGAGUUAAUAGUCUGGCAUUAUAAAUUUGAUUUCAAAUUAGAAUUUUUUAUUUAUGAUUAUCCUGUUUAACAAUAUCUUAAAUGUUUUACAACUACAUCUACAUCUACAUCUACAUCAAUAUUUUUUUUAUCAAGCUUAUAUUAAUUUAAAUAAUUUUGAGCUUCUAAAUGUAGAAGUGAUCAUGGACCGUGCUUGGUCGAGUCUCAAUAGAAUUUUAGGUUCGUUUUUUUGGCCUGAGUUCAGUUUAGCCUGGAAAAUGGGUCUAAUAUUUUGUCCAAGCUCAAUCUGGAUAAAAAUGUUAAAACCUGGGCCCAACUUGACCGUAUUAUUUUUUAUAUUAUUAAUUUUAUAUAAAAAUAAAUUUAAAAAAUAUAAUACACUAAAAAUAUUAAAAUAAAUAUUUCUCAACAAAUUAAAAAUUUUAUUUAUACUCAAAAAACACUAAUAUAGGUGCAAUUUAGCAAGCAAAUACAUAUAAAAUAGUAGCAAAAUUAAUAAUAAAAUAAGAGUUAUACAAUAUCAAAAUAAUAAUAACAAAAUAGUAACAAUAUAAUAGCGAGAUGACACGAAAACAGUAACAAAAUAGCAGCAAAAGCAGUGAAAACAAUAACAAAAAGCAGCAGGUUUUUCUUUUUACAAAUUCAAACUAAACUCGAAUUAAAGAAAAAUUUAUUCAAGACUUGACCUGUUUAGAAAACAAAUCUCAUGUUUUUUUUUAUCUAAACCUUUUUUAUGUUUUAGACGAGUGUAAUCAGAUAUACCUAAAUCCCUAUAAAAUAAUGUUGUGGAAUGCCCUAUCGAGGUCUUGUUUGGAAUGGAUGUAUGUAUAUCCCACCAACAUCAAGUCGGCUGGCACACAAUACACGAAUAAAUCAUUGGCAAAAUAUCACAAUAUAGUAAUAUAAUAUAAUUGGUCCACUUUAAAAGUUUUCCAUUGUCAUACACAGUCCAAUUCGAAUGUAUAUAUAUAUUUUGCUUUUAAUAAAAAAUUAAUAAAUUAGGUCAAAAAGUACUAAUACAAUAUUCAAAAUAUAAUAUUUACAGAAAAAAUUAUACGAAAUAAAGACAUCACAUUAUCUUGUAAUUAUUAUCAAUUAUUAAUGUCAUUCCAAUAUUUUUUUAUGUUAUUGGCAUAUUAUUUUAGUAAUUUUUUUAACAUAAAUCAUAGACUCUAAACUUUGAAUCUUCAACAUUGAACAUUGAGUCUAAAAUUUAUGGUCUAAAAUUAAGGGUGCAAAGUCUAGGGUUAAAAGUUAGGAUCCAAGAUUCAAAACCCAAGGUCUAAAAUUUAAGUUAAAAUAAUUAUUAAAAUAAUGUGUCAAAAAAAUAUUGAAAUAAUAUUAAAUAAUUAAUAAGAGAUAUGGGAUAAUAUGGCGUAGAAUUGUGUUCUUAUAUUAUACAUUACAAAUGGAGAAAAAAUUUCUACAAAGGCAUUUUUGAAAAAUAACCGUCUUUAUAACCACGAAGAAAUUAAAUUAAAAUCCCUGUUAAGGAGCAGUGCAUUCUUUAGGAAGUCCCUGAGGGAAUCGCUUGGUGUCAGUGCAGUAAUUGUAAAUCAUGUAAUUUUUCUGAACCCAUUUCAGCCUUUCUUGGCUCGUUAUAUCCAGUUCUUGCGAUAGCCAUGAAUUUUGAGAGGGCGAGGUGGAGGAACAUGAUGAUUUCCCGGAAGACCACACACAUGCAUCAGCCUUGUAAUUCCUGUAAGCAGCAGUGAAAGGAGCUUGACUCCAAUCUGUCUUAACAAGACCACCUCGAGUGGCCCAAUCAUCGGCGUUCCAAAGACUCGAAUACACUCUCAUCGGUUGGCUCUUUGGGAACGCAACGCCCAUCGAUUCCAAGUUCUUGAACUCUCUGAGCGGAGUCCCAUCAACAGAGAAGCUGUGAACAUUCAAAAGAAUCACAGUUAAACAUAAUGAAAAUAAUCGAAACUGUAAAAUUGAAUAGGGGGGGGGGUUGUAAAAGAAGACGUACAUAAUACGUUGAGGGUUCCAAAGAAGGGAGUAGGUGUGGAAGUCUUUGGUGGGAUCGAACCAAAGGUAGAACUGUUGCUCUUUAUCACCUUUGCCUUGUGUAUAUACAUUGGUGUGGACUGUGUAUGGGUCUCCGCUUAGGUUCCCCAAGAACUCGAAGUCGAUUUCAUCCCAUGUCGACCCUUCCGAACGAAGCUGCAAUUGUCACCCCACAUAUCAGCACAGAGUUGUAAAAUAAAUAAGAGACAAGUAUGAUGAUACAACGUACAUAGUAAGUGGUAACAGUGCCAGCAGAGUUGCCUGGGACCAGCUUAAUGUUCAUAUCAAUCUUCCCAAACAGAUAUUGGUUCUUGGAUUGAAAACCAGAGCCGGAGAAUUUGUCGAGGGUGAGAGUGAGAAGGUUUCCGUUUUCGAGAAUCUUGCCCCUGCCAUCACCCCAAGUAACAUCGAUGUCUUGGUUAAAGUUGGCAGCUGAGGCAAGUAUUACAAAGCUGAAUAAAAGAGAGAGAAGCAACGAAGUGGUCAUUAUUUUGGUGGGUUUGUAUUGUAAUUUAGAUUAUGAUGUUUGAAAUGGGGAAGUGAUAGAGGGUGGUUAUAUAGGGGGGAAGGAUUUGGUGAAACAGAGUAGAGAGGGGUUGUUUGGAAGCUUCGUGGUAUGUGUUUCCGUCGGGACAUUGAGUGAAUCGAAGUUGUAAACAGCUGGAACCGUAAAAGAGAAAGAAAGAAGGGGUCCAAAUGUGAUAAUACAUAACUAAUGGCUGUUCCUUGCUUCCAAAAUGCAUGUUUAAUUAAUGGGUUUGGUGCCUUCUUCCUAUGUCUGGUUGGUGCAAGCAGAUAGAUAUGAAUGUCAGGAAUUUAAUCCGAUUUUAAAAUUUGAGCUUUUAAAUAAAAAAUAAAUUAUUUAAGAUAAUAUCAAUGACUGUUAAAAUAAACUUUAAAAAUAUAGGUGUUUUUAUAUCCAAUAGUAAGUUACAUUAUAUUUUUAAAAAGAAGAUCGUGUAUUUGAAUUUUGAAAAUAUUGAAAUGAUCUUAAAAUAAACAUGAUUAAUUUGUUCUACAAUUUGAGUGAACCAAAAGAUUUCAUUAGCUUAAAAUCAACGGUGUUAAUUAAUAUGAGUAAUUGUCAAUGGCAAAACCAGGGGAGGAUAGCAGGGUCUUAGACCCCCUAAAAUAAAAAAAAUUUCGUAUGAUCUUUUGAGUAAAGGUAAAAUUAUAUUUUGGUCAAACUUAGAAAUAUAAAAAUUUAAUUUAAUCUUUUAAAAUUUAUAAAAAUAUAGUCUAUUAAAAUAAUAAAAUUAUAUUUUUUAUCGUAAAAAUUACAAUUUAAUUUUAACUGUUAAAUUUUUUUUAAAAUUUCACCCAUAUUGAUUGACUAAUUUUUGGGACCAACAAAAACUCAUCCACUGGGCUCAUCAUCUCAAACAAAAAUAAUAAUUAAACUAAUUAUAAAAAUGUCUAACCAAGUUCACAUUUUUAACAUUCUUUCAAUGAAAAUUAAAAUGAUUUUUACGCUUCGCGUUAAUUUAAUUAUUUAUUUAUCUCAAAUUUUGGAGUAUAAAUUUGAAUGUUAAAAUAUACUUUAAUCCUCCUAUCAUUUUCAGAAAUUUAAACCCUCUACUCUUGAGGAUAAAUAGACAUAAAUGAUUUGUUUAACUAUUAAGUAGAAAUUAAUCACAAAUAAUUAAAAUAGAAAAAUAAAAUUUAAAAUUUUUAAAAAAUAUAUAUUUGAACAUUAAGUAGCAAAAAAAAAACAAGUAACUUAAAUGUGAAAAUAAAAUUUAAAAAUUAUAAAAAUUAAUUCUUUUCCAAAAUACUAAUUAAAUUGUCUUUAUUAAGUUUUAAUACCUAAAUUACUUCUACUAAUUUUUUUUAUAGUACCUAAGCUACCCCUACUUACUCCUUAUGGCUAUCAAAGGAGAUGGUUUUAUUAUUUAUAGAUAGAUAGAUAACUUUAAAUAAAAGAAUGUUCAUCAAUUAGCUUUUAAAGUAUUGAUAAGUGUUAAAAGUAAUAUAUUUUAACCUCAUUCUUAAUGUGUUUUUGGGUGAUAAUUCGAUGUUAAUUGUGAAUUUUAUACUCUUAAUCCUUUAAAUUCAUGUUUUGAUGCCUAAUAGAGCAAAAGGAGCAAAAAACGAGUAAAAACCGAAAAAUCAAAGCAAGUUAUAGGACCUAUACGGGCAAACCCAUUCCACAUGACCAUGUGACCCACAUGAGCUACCAUACGAGCGUGUGGUAGGUCGUGUCGAUUGCACGGAUUUGCAUUCUGAAUAGCAAAAAAUCACGUUUUUAAAGUGUUUUAGGCAUUCUAAAACGUAUAUUUGACAAAAAUAAAAAGAUAGAAGGGAGCCAUUAUAGAAUUUUCAAGAAAACAACUCGAAAAACACCAUUGAAGCCGAUUCUGAAGUAGAUUUCCGUCAAGAUUGAAGACUCUCAGUUGAUUUCUUAAGAGAUUGUCAUAAGUUUUUUUUAUUUCUUUCGGUUAUACUGUAUCUUGGAUUUUUUUUUUCAAGCAUGAAUUAAUUUUCUAAAUACCUAGGGAGAUGAACCUUAUGAUGGAUUCUUACGUUUGAUUUUUAUUUUACGCAAUAAAUAAUUAUUUUUUAUUCUUAAUUAUCUGUGCUUAAUUUAUUGGUUUAAUAUUUCUAAACUAUUGAUCCAUAUUUGAUGUACUUAAAUCAGAGGUUAAAUAAACCAUAUGUAAGAGUAGAUUUUGCUUAAUUGAGUGGAGUUGCAUGCAAUCCCAAAAAUAUGAUGACAUAAAUCUAUUGGAUUAGAGUCAAAUCUAAUUGGGAAAUCCAUAGCCCGAGUUAAUGCGAUAAUAAGAGUUUUAAUUAAAAAGAACAAUCAAUUAAUCAACCUAGAGUCAGUUGCUCUUAUUCUCGAAAGAGAUAUUAGCAUAAUUAGGGGUUUCCAUGGAUCAUGUCACUAAAUAAAGAAAUUGCGUAAUUUAGAUUGAUAGUGACAGAUGAAAUCUAGGUGAAUUAUUUCAUGAGUAUUGUUUCGCUUCUUAGUUAUUAAUCCUUUAUUUGCUUCUUUUGUUCUUUGCUAUGUUUAUUAGUUAAUUAAAUUUAGUUUUUAAAUCAAUCACUUGAAUUAUUCUGUUAAAUGAUAGAAAAAGAUAAUAAUUAUUAGCACUUUUAAUUUUCAUAGAAACGAUAUCUUUAUUCAUUAUACCUAUACAAUUAACUGAUAAAUAAAUUUACUUUAGCUAGUUCCGUGGACAUAAAGUAAUACCAAUAAUUCGGAAUGAAUGAUAGGAAAUUUGAUUUUUUUUAUUGAAAUUUUAUAAAUAAAAAAUAAUAUUGAGAAAUCCAACUUAAGAAUUCAACACUAAUAUCACAUAAGAGAAAAGACAUAUGAUAUGAUAGGAAAGCAGGUUGAUGACUGGCUUGUGGAUAAUUAUGAAAAGGCAAACAAAAGAGAGAAUAUGAUUACAAAUAAACAGCUGGCUGCCAGAAUCAUUUCAUUGUGAAAAAAAUAUGUUAUAACAUGUUAAAAUAAUAUUAAUUUAUAUUAUAAUUAUAAUUAAUAUAAUAUGAAUGUCAAGCCCUCGAAUAAAUGCCUAUAAAAUAAUGUUGUGGCAUGGCCCCAUGGAGGUCUUGUUUGGAAUGGAUGUAUGUAUCAGUAUAUCCCACCAACUUCAAGUCGGUUGGCACACAAUACACGAACAAAUCAUUCACAAUAUCACAAUAUGGUAAAAUAAUAUAGAUCCCCACUUUUUUUUUACUUGAAAUCGCGAAAUUUUUACCAAGAUAAGUGCUAUUCGAGAACAAUUAAUUGAUUUAGAUUUGUGAAUUCGUAGAGAUUAUUUGGAGGUAGAAUGGAAAAAGUUAGGAGAAGAAUGCUCAUGAGUUAUGAAUGAGAAUAACAAAAAAUUAGAAGAAGAAAGGAUUUUUUUUUGGUUAGGUGCUUGGAAUGGAAUUGGUUAAGCAUUUUAUUCGAACAGAUAUAGAACUGGAAUGAAUGGUUUUAUGUCGUUUGGCUGUUCAGAUCUUACCUGUUAUAGAGAGGUGGUUGUUAUACACCUAUAACAACAUGUUGUUAUAGAGAGAUAAUAAGCUUACCAUAAAAUUUGUAUUGUGAAUUUUUAUUAAAUAAAGAAAAUGAGAAUUAUAUUAAAAAAAGAAAGAAAAUAGGAACCAAAUAAAUAAAAUUAAAAGACAUAUAAUAAGUGUAUGUAUUAUUGUUUUUAUGCAUAUUUUAUUUUACAUUAUUUCACAUGAUUAAUUAUAAAGUCCAUAAAUCUAAUAAGUUCAAUUAAUCAAUGAGUUAUCAAAUUAAAUUAAUUAAUUAAUUAAUUUAUAAUCAUUGUUAACCAAUGAGGUAAACAAGAGGAAGAAGAAGAUGAUUGAACAAGGAAGAAUGAAGUGAAGGUUGGGGAGUGGUUUUAGUUUUGAAGAUAGUUAGGGGAUUGGGAAGGAGUGUGUACGUGAAUCUAUAUGACUUGUUUGCAUGCCCCUUUUAUAGUGGGGAAUAAGCUUGGAUACGUGUCUUGAGGUUACUGACAUGGAAAUUUGAUUUGAUACCCUUGGCAGUGAUAAUGAUACUACGUCCUAGAAUCACGUCCUAAGAUGAGAUGUUAUAGGGUGACUAGCAAUUAAUUACUUUGGUCCUCCACGUGCCCCCACAUAGUCUUAGCGGAGUUGUUCCUUUCUAAAGUUCAUCGAGUUGAUGUUCGUGAACCAACCCUAAGUUCGUAAUGUAGUUGGUUCCAUUGAGAGAUACGCGUUCAGCUCUCUAUGGAUGCACUUUGAGGUUCAUAAAGUACAUUGUAAGGUCUGGGAGGAUCACUAGACAAGGUAUAACAAUCAUGAAUUACUAAAUUCAAGUAAUCAAUUUAUAACUUUAUGAUAUUUCAAAUUCAUAGCAAAAUAUUUAAUUAGGGAGCUUAAUAGUUUAUGGAAUUGAUAUAUUUAAUUUCACUCAGUGAAGAUUAUUUUCAUUUAAUAAAACAUGAUUAAUAAAUUUCUUCAAGUGAAAAUUAAUCAUUUUGUUGAAAUAAUAUUUUGAUUAAGAUAAUUUUCAUUUAAUAAAUGCUAAGUAAUAGGCUUGCUUAUAUGAAAGAGCUAUAAUUUUACUUAAAAUUUAGAUAAUAUGUUGUUAUAGAGAACUAAUUUAAUAAAGAACGUACUUCAUAAUUAUAGAUGUUACAAUUAAUAGUGAAAAAUUAUUAUAGAAAGUUAAAAUAGAAUAUUAAAAAUCGAUUCUUCUAAAAAUUUAACUAUUAUAAUAGAAUGUUGUUAUAACGAGUGAUUGUUAUAGAAAAAAAUAAUGCAUUACCCUAACAAAAUAGAUAAAUUUAAACUCUGACAAUUAUGAAUGAAGCAUAUUAAUUUUAAUUUCUCCUCUUAAUAUCUAAUCUAAGGUUUUGGUUUAACUUGCAUAUUUCAAUGAAUUAAUGAAUUUUGUUUAUCUAUUGUGAAAACUAUAUAUUUAGAAUACAUAUAAUAGAUUAAAAAUAAUGAAAUAUAAAUAUUGAAAUUAAUUAACAAUAACACAUAAAAUAUGUACGAUAUUAAAAUAAAAUUUACAUAUUAAAUUGUGAGUAAAAUAAAAUUUAAAGACAUAAACACAUCAUAUUAAGAGCACUAAAUACACUCCAAUUGCUUAUUAUGGUGUUGUCAUCAAUCUAGAGUUAGUGCUGAAUUCACUUAUGACACCAACUCAAUCAGCAACAUUAUUAAUACUAGAAAUUUUAUCACACAUAAGCGUGUGGAAAUCACAUAUUUAGAAUACAUAUAUGUGUUUAAAAAUAACAUGUAAUAAAUAAUAAAAGAUAUUGUUUGAAACUAAUAAUAAGACACAUGCAAUAUGUACGAAAUUAAAAUGAAAAAAUAUAGUUUAAAUUGUAAUUUUUAAAAAAAGUCAUUUUCCUAUAACAUGUCAAAAAGUUAUUGAAAGAAAAUUCAAUAUUAAAAUUCAAAUUAUGGCACACCCACAAUGUUUGUGAAAAAUUAAAUUACGUAUCAAAUAUAUUUGUAAAAAACUUAUAUAAAUAAUAAAUAAUGUUUUAGUUGAAUGGUAAAAUAUAAAUGAGAAAAAUUAAAGAGACAUGAGUUUAAAUCUUAUUUUAUAUACACAUGAGCGCGCGCACACACACAUAUAUAUUUGCAUUUUUCUAUUUUUAUAUAAAAUAAAUAAAAUGAUAGAAAUGCCUUCAAAAUAAUACAAUUUAUUUCAUAUAGUCAGGGUAUUUUAAUCUUUUUUCAACUGAGUUGGUAUCUAAUUAACCCGUGACACCAACUCAAUAAGGAGCCUUAAGUAUAGAUAUACAAUUGGUGGAGGUAAUAUAGCGUGCAUAAUAAAAUUAAAAUGUAAAAAGAUAAAAUAAAUCUUUAGUUGAGCGGUAAUUUAAGCUUUUAUUAAUACCAUCAACUUGGGUUCAAGUCCCACUGAUUGUAUUUAUUAUUCUUUUUAAAUAAAAAGAUAAAAGUACCCUCGAAAAAUAAAAUUUAUUUUUAAGUAUUAAAGAACAUUAUGAUAAUUUUCCUAAUUGAGUCGGUACUUAAUUGACUUAUGGAAUUAACUUAAUCAAGAACUUGAAUAAUAGUAUAGAUAAUGACUUGUUUGUAUAUACAUGUUCAAUUUUGUAUGUUGAAAAAAACCUUGUUAUUGAAGAUGUAUUUAUAUUUCCUCAGCAAAAUUGAAAAUAGAGAAAAAUAUAAAGAGAAACGAUUUUUUAUUGUUUUUAUUUGUGUGCUUGAUAAAAUAUACGAAAAAUUGAAAGUAAAAGUAAUUUUUUUUUUAUUGAUUGUUUAGUAGAGUUAAAAAAUGAAUUCAUUAAAAAUGGCUUCUGUCAUAAUUUGCUUCCGAACUAUAAGUACUUAAAUAAAUUUUUUUGUCCCAUUUUGAUACCUCAUUCAUUAUAAUUUUCGGUCCAAAAUAUUAAUGGUAUUAAAAAAAUUGUCAAACCAACCAAUGCGCUACAUGUUUGACAUUUUCACGUGUCAUUAAUUAUGUGACCAAUUAUCGAUGAUGUGGUCGUUAAUCAUUGAUCGUAUCGAACAACUGUUUGCUAGACAUUGGUUGGCAUGUAAAAGAAGGUCACAUAUACCAUUAAUUUUUUGGACCAAAAUUUAUAACAAAACAAUAGUUUAGGUAUUAAAAUAGGGAAAAAUGUUUACGCAAUAAAAUAAGAAAAGCAGAAUAGUGACUCGUGACCUAAACUUAAAAAAAAAUGCAUAAUUUUGAUAUAACAUACAUUUCUCUUAUCAUCCCAAUUUAUCAUAAUUUAUUUUUAUGCACUAAAAUGUAAAAUUAUUAUCCCUUCUUAUAUUUGAUCAAGUACGCCCUAUUUUUACUUCUUCACUUUUAUCUUACUUUUUAUUACAACACCAAUUUUAAAAAUAAAUAGAGUUGAAACAACAUUUUAAAAAAUAAUAAGAAACAUGACUAGGUUUACACAUUCAACCUCGUUUAUUUAUUGCCUUUUGACACAGUAAAUUUCCAGAGCAAGGGAAGACAUAAUCGUAGGAUAAAAGUUGCAAAGUUUGGCAUUCUGAUCUCAAUUUUUUAAAAUAAUAACAUGAAUAAACUAAUGAUAGAUUGAUUUAUUUAUUCUCUUUUUAAUUUUUUAUUUAAUCUGUUUUUUUUCACCAAUUUGUAUUAAUUUAAGAAUUUUGAUUUGUCUUAAAAUUAAAAGUGAUAAGUAUCGAAUUGAAUAUAUGUGAAAAUAUGAUGUAGUAUUAUAAAUGUGAAAUUGAAUUAAUAUCAUUAUGUGUAAUGCUAUUAUAUUGGAGAAUUGAUUAUUGGUUGAUGAAAUUAUGUAAUGAAAUUGAGAAAUUGUUACCCUAUUAACUGUUCGGGUAGAGUCGGAUAUAGUUGGCAUGCCAUAGGAUAGGAAGAGUUCAGGGUUACUUCGGUUGUACCGAUGAGGCACUGAGUGUCAAACACAUUGAUGAGCGUUGGGCUCAAACUAUUUACUUCGACAUUGUCCGAUGAGGCACUGGGUGUCAAACUGGUUUGAUUGGUUAGAUCCGUAUAUAUGUCCGAGUCCGAUUUAGAUUAAUAGGGGUAUAAAAUAAAUUUUGAUAAAUGAUAUUUGAAUUGGGUUAAUAUUAUGUUUUGAUGAUUUGUAUACAUAUUGUGAUUAACGGAUAUCGAUGACACGUAAAAAAUCAUACGAACCAGUUAUGUGCCUGAUGGGCCGAUAUAAAAAUGUGAUGAAUCAAUAAGUUCAAUUCAGAAUUUAAAUAAGGAAAUGAAAUAGUAAUUGUCAUUAAACUUAAAUUGGAUAUAUAACUGAUAAAUAGAUGGAAUGACAUAAUAUUAUAAGAAUGAUGUUCAUAUGGUUAAAUGUUGAAUUGAUUUUGAGAAUGGUAUUGAAAUGUGAUUUUAGGUGAGGUUUAUUUCAUAUUGAAAUGUUAUAUGAUGAGUUUAAAUGUUAACUCAGCUUGUUGAUUUAUGAUUGUCAUGUUUAGGUAAAAUUGUCAAGUUGAAUAACUUGUUGUGUUAAAUCGUAAAAUAAGGUAAGAUGUUUAAAUACCAGUGAACUUACUAAGCAUUUGUAAUGUUUACCUUCCACUUGUUUCCUUUUCCCUGUAAAUUGCCAACUUAAGGAACGUGUCAAGUGGAUCUUUGAGAAACUCACAUUAUCAUGUUGUUGAUUCGGUAUCUUUUAAUCAUUUAAAGUUCAAUUUUGUGGCAUGUAUAUAGGUAAUUUGUUUUGAUCAAUCUUGAAUGUUGGCACUUUGGUUCUUGAAUGUGAUUGGUAUUUUGAAUGGUUAUAUGUUAUAUACAUAGGUGUAAAGGUUGGUAAUGUGAUGCUCGAGUAUAGGCAUAAUAUGUAUAGAUAUGUUAUCUGGGAGUGAUAGUGUUUUUGGAACCUUAAAUAAUGUUAAACUUAAUUGGCAAAUAGGUUGUGUACUAAAAUGUGCACUUUGACAUUUUUGUCAAGUUAUGGUAGAAGCUUAAAUGGCAUUUAUUGAGGUUGAAAUGUUAAGAUGUUUGGCGUGCCUUAUUGAAUGAUUGAUGAAUACAUAUGCUAUUAAGCUUACCAAAGUGUUCAUUACAUGUGAAAUAACUUGUACGGUUUUGUAGUUAACAAAAUGGAUGAAUUAGGAUGUGUUUAGAAUAAUUUUAUGCAGGUUUGUAUUGGCCAAAUGUACACCAUUUUAGCCUUUAAUUUGUUUUGAUUAUAUUUAUUCUUUUUACUAUAAUGUUUAAAAUUAUUCAUAAUCUCUUUCGAACUCAUAAAUAAAAAAAUACACUAUUUUCAAUCUAACUAUCGUCAAUCUAAGACGAAUUUCAUAGUUUGUCGUUUUAGUAUCUUACGUAAAGAGAACGAAAGAAAAGUUCAACAACCGGAACUUAGACCUGGCAGUCUACACGUCUUCAUUUAAUAUUCGAAAUAGAAUAUUAUUAUUGAGCUUAUAUUACAUGUUACAAUAUAUGUAGAAUGAAACAAAAGAAUACUAUUGAGGAAAUUAAUUAAAUUAAAAUCCCUGUUAAGGAGCAGUGCAUUCUUUAGGAAGUCCCUGAGGGAAUCGCUUGGUGUCAGUGCAGUAAUUGUAAAUCAUGUAAUUUUUCUGAACCCAUUUCAGCCUUUCUUGGCUCGUUAUAUCCAGUUCUUGCGAUAGCCAUGAAUUUUGAGAGGGCGAGGUGGAGGAACAUGAUGAUUUCCCGGAAGACCACACACAUGUAUCAGCCUUGUAAUUCCUGUAAGCAGCGGUGAAAGGAGCUUGGCUCCAAUCUGUCUUAACAAGACCACCUCGAGUGGCCCAAUCAUCGGCGUUCCAAAGACUCGAAUACACUCUCAUCGGCUGGCUCUUUGGGAACGCAACGCCCUUCGAUUCCAAGUUCUUGAACUCUCUGAGCGGAGUCCCAUCAACAGAGAAGCUGUGAACAUUCAAAAGAAUCACAGUGAAACAUAAUGAAAAUAAUCGAAACUGUAAAAUUGAAUGGGGGGGGGGUUGUAAAAGAAGACGUACAUAAUACGUUGAGGGUUCCAAAGAAGGGAGUAGGUGUGGAAGUCUUUGGUGGGAUCGAACCAAAGGUAGAACUGUUGCUCUUUGUCACCUUUGCCUUGUGUAUAUACAUUGGUGUGGACUAUGUAUGGGUCUCCGCUUAGGUUCCCCAAGAACUCGAAGUCGAUUUCAUCCCAUGUCGACCCUUCCGAACGAAGCUGCAAUUGUCACCCCACAUAUCAGCACAGAGUUGUAAAAUAAAUAAGAGACAAGUAUGAUGAUACAACUUACAUAGUAAGUGGUAACAGUGCCAGCAGAGUUGCUUGGGACCAGCUUAAUGUUCAUAUCAAUCUUCCCAAACAGAUAUUGGUUCUUGGAUUGAAAACCAGAGCCGGAGAAUUUGUCGAGGGUGAGAGUGAGAAGGUUUCCGUUUUCGAGAAUCUUGCCCCUCCCAUCUCCCCAAGUAACGUCGAUGUCUUGGUUAAAGUUGGCGGCUGAAGCAACCAUUACAAAGCUGAUUAAGGCAGAUAGUAGCAGCAAUGAAGUCCUCAUUUUUUUUGGUAGGUUUGUAUUAUGAUGUUAGGAAAUGGGGGAGUGAUAGAGGGUGGUUAUAUAGGGGAGGUGGAUUUGGUGAGAAAGAUGAAGAGAGAAGCUUCGUGGUAUGUGUUACCGUCGGGACAUUGAGUGAAUCAAAGUUGUAAACAGCUGGAAACAUAAAGAGAAAGAAAGAAAAGAAAAAGGUCCAAAUCAAUAAUACUGAGGGGUGUUGCUUGGAAGUUGGUACCAAUAUGCAUGUAUAAUUUAUGGAUUUGGUGCCGCCUUUCCAUGUCUGGUUACUGUGCAUUUGCAUGUCAGGAAUUGAACCGGCAGUUGAAGCAGUAAAACUUUGAUUCAGAGUUUCAACUUUAAAAUAAUUAAUAUUCAUUAUAUCCAUCAGUGUAAUAAACAUAUCACAAUCAAAACACACUGUAAUACACUCACCAAUCCCAAACGAGGUUGGGGUUUGGAGGCCAGAACCCAACUGUUUAUACGCAGGCUUAUACGUUGUGCAAUUUGAGUGAACCACAAGAUUUCAUUAGCCUAAAACCAGUGGUGUUAAUUAAUGUGAGUCAUUGUCAUAUUGGCUGACUAAUUUUUGGGGACCAAACCAGAACUCAACCACUGGGCUCAUCACGUUAAUCAAAACAACUAUUAAUUAUUAAUUAUUAAUUAAAUCCAUUACAAAAAAUGCCUGACCAUAACUAUUUUCUUUUCAUUUAUUAUCUAGACUGAAAUUUGAAUCCUUAAUUCAAAAAAGUAAAAUCCAUUGGUGAAUUACUUUGUGUUUGAUUAUUUCAAGGAUUUCCGUAAUGAAAAAAAUCUUAACUUUUGAACAAGUCAAUUGUUCUAGAAAUAUCUUAAAAAGUCAAGUAAUAAUAUACAUUCUAAAAAAAACUAAAAUUGAUAAAUCAAUAAUCUAUUAAAUAUUAAAUUUAGGUGUUAUUUGAUAAAUUAAAAAAAAUUAAAUGUUCAAAAAUUAAGUAUUGAGUUUAAGUUAUAAAAUUUGUUUGAUAUAUUACUUAAAAUUAGUUAUGGAAUAUAAUUAGAUUGUUUGAUAAAUAUAGAUUUUAAAUUAUAAAAAAUUAUAUUCUACAUUUUAUCUUUAAUUUUUAAACAUUUCACCUUAUUCUAAACAAAAAUUAAAAUUUCAAACGUAAAAUUUUUAUAAAAAAUAUAACAUUACAAAAAACUAAAAUUAAAAUAAUUGAAAAUAUUUUCAAUUAAGUGAUAAAUAAUUUUUAUCUACUUAUUAUUUUUCACAUUUUUUUAUAAGGAAUUCUAACAUAUUGCCUUAAUUUUCAACUUUUUAUCAAAGAAGGUCUUAGUCAUGAUUUAAUUAAAAUUUAACAUUGUAUUGUGCCCUCUUCUUUUCAUAGAAAAAGCCUAGCUAUUCAACUUUUUCAAAUUAAAUCUUUACUCUGUGGGCAGCGGCGCUGGCCUUCAAGCUUGUUGCUAAUCACAAUUCCUCUUAACAAUUUUUGUAGUUUUAUUUUGUUUUUAAUUUCAAUCUACAUUAUUGUGGUUUUGUCUACAGUUUUGUGGUUUUAUUUUGUCCACAUUUUUUAUGGUUUUUGUUUUGUCCACUUUGUUUUCUUUGAAAAUAGUGGUGGUUUUAUUUUUACAUUUAAUUUUUUAGUCAUGUUCUAACAGGUAUGUGAGAUAUUGUAACACCCCCAACCCGUAUCCGUCGCCGGAACUGGGUUACGGAGUAUUACCGGAUAUAUCGGAUAACUUAUCACUAAUUCACAAAUAAAUAACAUACAUAGCAUACUUUAAUCAAUACAUUACCUAGAUAUUAGAUACAUGCCACAAUAUCAAAAGAAAGGCACAUCACUAAAAUUCACUAAUUCAAAAAUAUUUUUAAAGUCACGCUUAACUUAUAAUUAUUAAUUAAUAAAUUUUUCUAACUUUUUGAUCGAAUUUAGUGAUCUCAAAUCACUGUUCUGACACUACUGAAAAUUGAGCUGUUACAACUCUUCCCCCCUUAAAAAUUUUCGUCCUCGAAAUUUCUCACUGAUACAAGCUAUUAAGUCAAAUCUUUCUUCCACCUUUUUUAUCGAAGUCCAUAAAAUUAAUCAUAACUCAUAUCACUUCCGAACUCAUAUCAAAACUCAUUUUAGAACUUGAUACUAUGACUGAACUUAAUUGAGUAGCUCUGAUGUUCUCCUGUCAUCACUUUCUCACUAGUAGUAUAACUACCGAGAAUUUCCAGUAAUCGUCAAUCAAAACAUAACUGAGAAACCCGUAUUAUUAAACUCUGACUGAUAUUUUUGACGUGGUUGCAUCUGUAACUUUCAACUGAUAUUUGUUUCUUUUUUUUUCCAUGAAAGCGUCAAGUAAUAUCAUUUUACACAACUGCAAUAACUUCAACAACAAGGACAACUUUAACCCAUAAUAAUAUUUCCCGAUUAAAACUGACCUGAUAGAUAUAUUUCUGUAUCAAGUCUUCUAGAAUCUGAUUUUUUCAUUCUGAUUGUCCUUCUAUUUACCCAUGAAUACACAAAAUUUAUUCCCGGUCCUGAGAAUAGACUCAAAUGCAUAAAAACCAGUUGCCUACGGAUUAUCCUUCAUCCUUUAUCCAGCAGAGCCAUCUCUUGCAAUCUAUGAACCUGAACCAUCUUAUCUAAUACCUUCGAACGAAGACCUUGAAAACCCAUCCAGCCAGAAAAAAGCAGAUAAUUUAAACCCAUUGUGAAGACCCAAAAUGUACUGAUUCCAUCAGUGAUUAUAACUCAAUUAACUUUUCAAUGAAUAACCCACUUUGAUUAGAACAACUGAGUCGAUUUUAUCUAUCAGAUAAUAACAUUUCAGAAUAAUCCAUUCUUCUUGUUGUCAAAACAAUCCAGAUAUACCAUAUAUCAUAAUUUUCUCGGAAUAUCAACAGAAAUUUACCACAAACUGCAUUAACUCAAACGAAUUAUGACAUCUCAUUAUUGACUUGCUGACAUAAUUCAGGAUUACCUGAGAAAUAAAAACCAAUGUACAAAUUUGAGCUCAAUCUUCCACCAUCUACUCUUUUUUCGAUGUCAACCCUUUCAUGAAAACUGGAAAAGAAUUAUAUAUAAUAAACCUAUUUCAAUUAUAAUCAUCGAAGCUUUGAACUAUACCGAAGCCACAACCAUCAGAUAGAUUAAAAACUAUAGAGCAAUAAUAGGACUGGCGUUCCAACUGUAUAGAUAGAACAAUACCUCAACAUCAAUAGUGAAUUCCAAAAUAGAUGAAGAAAAUCGAAAGGAGUCCCAUUAACAACCAGUGCAGUAAUACAACUUCUAUAAUAUGAUAUCCAUAUCACCGAGCUACCAUGAUUGAACCAAAAUUAAUAACAGUAAUAAAUAUAACUACCUCCGGCCAAUGAAUAACUUUUAUAGAUGAACCAUGUUUAAUAAAUAAGAUUAGACCAUAAGAAUGAUAAGAAAACCGAGAUAAUAAAAUCCAAGAUGUGAAGCUAUACUGAAUUUUCGAGAAUAAAAACCACAUUGAAUGAUAAAGAGAUCGAUGAUAUCCCAGAGAAAAUUCAGAAGAAGAAUAUCGCUCGUACACACUAAAAAUAGUUGUGAUAAAGACAAUAUAAAUUCCAUAUAUGUAAUUCGGAAAAUUCAACCAGUAGAAAUAGAAAAUAACUUCAUAUGAUUCUUAUCAUCAAGUCUUCUAUCAAACAUAAUAGAUUAGAAAACCAAAGAAAGAUAGAACAAUGCCAAUCAUAAAUCAACCAGACUAACAAUACUUCCAGCUAACAUUAUGUUUAACCAAACUUUCUAUAUGAUAAGAAUCACAUCUGAAAAUAAACAGUUGAUGCUUCUUUAUUUGUUCGGGUCGUACUGGUUCAACGUUGUAUGUUCUUGUGUACGUUGAUGAUAUUAUUGUUACAGGUGAUGUGCCUUCUGCUAUAGAGUGGUUUGUUCAAUUGUUAAAUAGUAAGUUCUCGCUUAAGGACAUGGGCGAUCUUCAUUACUUUCUUGGGAUAGAAGUUACUCGUUCUUCAUCAGGCUGUCUUCAUCUAUGUCAGAAGAAGUAUAUACGUGAUAUUCUUAUUCGGUGUUCGAUGGAAAAUGCGAAGAGUGUUAAUACACCGAUGAUUAGUUCCUCUAUCAUGACUAGAGAUGGUGGUGAGCGUUUAGAGGAUCCGACUGAAUACAGGAGCCUUGCUGGAGCAUUACAGUAUGUCACUCUUACGCGGCCUGAUGUUGCAUACGCUGUAAAUCGAAUAUGUCAGUUUAUGCAUUGUCCCACUUCUGUUCAUAUGACUGCUCUAAAGCGUAUUUUGAGGUAUCUAGGUGGAACGAUUGAAUUUGGGAUUGUGUUUCGUCCGUCCACUAGUUUGUCAUUAGUUGGGUAUGCUGAUGCAAACUGGGGGUUAGAUUUUGAUGACUGGAGGUCUACUACUGGGUACUAUGUUUAUUUCGGAUGUAAUCCUGUGUCGUGGUGUACGAAGAAACAGCAGGUUGUUGCUCGGUCUACUGCUGAGGCAGAAUACCAGAGUCUUGCCGCGGUCACUAGUGAGGUUACAUGGCUUUUGUCGUUACUUCAAGAAUUACAUGUUCAGUCUACUAGUAUUCCCAAUAUUUGGUGUGACAGUUCUGGUGCGGUUGCAGUUGCUACUAAUCCUGUUGUUCAUUCAAAGUUUAAGCAUGUUGAAUUAGAUUUAUUUUUCGUUCGUGAAAAGGUUGCUGAUGGUACUGUUGCCGUUGGUGAGGUUCCGGCGUGUGAUCAAGUUGCUGAUGUUCUCACUAAGCCACUUUCGCUAUCGAUUUUUGCUCGUUUUCGAAAUUUCCUACGGGUCUUGCCUGUGGAGAAGAUGGAUGAAUAUUAGAGUAUAGAGAGUUGUUAGUUAGUUGUGAAUAUGGUAGAAGGUUGUUGCUUAGUAUGGAGCAGUUACUCAUGUCUAUAAAUACUGUACAUCUGUAUUCAGAGAGCAAGGAUUUUUGAAUAAACAAACAAAGAAGUUUAUUCUUCAUUUUCUAUUUUGUUCUCUGUUUGGCUAGAUAUUUCUUUCUAUUUUAUCUAGCUCUUUCAUUCUCGAAAGGCUAGGCUAGUAACACUUUUACUCUACGAAAGAAAAACUGAGCCACCACAAACCAAGGCAUCCCCCCCCCCCCCCCACAAAAAAAAAUUGUAACUAAACAUCUUGUGAAAAUUCUUAAAAAAAUUAUAAAAAAUUAAAAAUUUUAAAUUUUAUACUGCAGUUUUUUAAUGAUUUUUACAAUUUUUAGUUAACGAUUAUUUUACAGUUUUUUUAAGAAUUGAGUAUUUUGUUACAAAAUUGUGUUUUUUCUCUAGGAAUUUGAGUAUUGGCAAAAUUAGGCAAAAAUGCCACUUUUAAUAAAAAAAAUUAGGAAAUCAAGAUCAAAUUGAUAAAAUAUGUAAGUAUUGAGGACUAAAUAUAUUAUUAUACCAGUUAGAAAAAGACUUUUGAUUAUCAAUUUAACGACAAGUAAUCAAAAUAAAAAUAAAUUCAAACAUUAAUACCUAAAUUAAAAAAUUUUAAAUUAAGUAACCAAAAUAAAAAAUGCGAGCAUAAUUAAGUAAAUUAUCAAUUUAUCCGAAUUUAUAUUAUAUUUAUUAUUAAUAUAUCAAAAUUUAUAUGAAUGUUAUAUUAUUUUAAAUCAUUUUGAGCUUCUAGUCAGCUACUAAAUGCGAAUAUAUAAUGUUGUGGCAUGGCCCAUCGAGGUCUUGCUUCGAAUGGAUGUAUGUUGAUAUAUGUCUCUCACCAACUUCAAAGUCGGCUGGCACACCAAACACGAACAAAUCAUUGGCAAAAUAUCACAAUAUAUAUCCCGAGGUGUCACAUGCGAUUUUUCUAUAGGUUUUCUUUAAGUAAGUUGACCAUAGGUCUACGGUAGCAACUGGAUACAUUUUCAAUCAGAAAAUAUUAAUAUAUACAUAUUUUAUAUAUGAAUAUGAUAAAAUAUCAGAUUAAUUUAAAAAUUUACAUAUAUAACAAUUACAAUUAUAUCAAUAAUUGUAUUGUUAAAAUAUUAUUUGUAUAAAAAAUUAUAAUAUGAUUUUAAUUUUAGAUGGAUAAAAACAGAUUUCGUAGUUGAUUAUUGAGCUUAUAUUAUUAAUUACACCUAUAUAUUUCCCUGGUUAGAUGUUUUGACUUCAAUCAGAGAAACAUUAAAGUAGUAUAAUUUCCGAAACUGAAUAGUAUUAUUUAUUGAGCUUAGUUUUACAUGUUACAAAACAUUGACUGAAACAAAAGAAUACUGUGAGGCUGCUUUUGAACAAAGUAUCUGUCCUUCGGCAUGACUAGCGAUGGGAAUCUUAAUCAACAAAUUAAGAAGCGGUGCACUCUUUAGGAAGUCCCAUAGGAAAUCGCUUGGUGUCGGUGCAGUAAUUGUAAAUCAUAUAAUUUUUCUGAACCCAUUUGAGCCUUUGUUGGCUCGCUAUAUCCAGUUCUUGCGAUAGCCAUGAAUUUUGGGAGGGUGAUGAGGUGUAGGAACAUGAUGAUUUACCGGAAGACCAGACACAUGCAUCAGCUUUGAAAGUCCUGUAAGAAGCAGUGAAAGGAGCUAGGCUCCAAUCCGUCUUAACAAGACCACCUCGAGUGGCCCAAUCAUCGGCGUUCCAAAGACUCGAAUACACUCUCAUCGGCUGGCUCUUUGGGAACGCAACGCCCUUUGAUUCCAAGUUCUUGAACUCUCUAAUUGGUGUCCCAUCAACAGAGAAGCUGUAAACAUUCAAAAGAAUCACAAUUAAACAUACUGAAAAUAAUCGAAACUGAAACGUUUUUAGAAAAAUGGGAUUGUAUAAUAAGACAUACAUAAUACGUUGAGGGAUCCAAAGAAGGGAGUAGGUAUGAAAGUCUUUGGUGGGAUCGAACCAAAGGUAGAACUGUUGCUCUUUGUCACCUUUGCCUUGUGUAUAUACAUUGGUGUGGACUAUGUAUGGGUCUCCGCUUAGGUUCCCCAAGAAUUCGAAGUCGAUUUCAUCCCAUGUCGACCCUUCCGAACGAAGCUGCAAUUGUCACCCCAGAUAUCAACAGAGUUCUAACAUAAAUAAGAGACAAGUAUGAUGAUAAAACUUAC